This is a small nucleolar RNA of Tachyglossus aculeatus (Australian echidna), 136 nucleotides long. NCBI's taxonomy places the organism in Eukaryota, Metazoa, Chordata, Mammalia, Monotremata, Tachyglossidae. The record is from RefSeq and is a predicted model, not a curated record.
AACCUCAGGGUCACACCUGGAGAGUUUUCACUACUCUGCCAGUCUUGAAUAAGGGAGGGACAGUCAAGCAGAGACAAAGCCAUUCCAUUCCUAGCUUGGGAAGUGGCUAGAGAGCGGAAGACAAUCUGCUACAAGU